Molecule: ribosomal RNA, 497 nt
Filed under: uncultured bacterium
Lineage: Bacteria
Description: partial 16S ribosomal RNA
Rfam family: Bacterial small subunit ribosomal RNA
Source: RNAcentral
GAUGAACGCUGGCGGCGUGCCUAACACAUGCAAGUCGAGCGGGAUUCAUGAGGACGAAACUUCGGUCUAGAAAUCAUGAUGAGAGCGGCGGACGGGCGAGUAACGCGUAGGCAACCUGCCCUUAGCACAGGGAUAGCCUCGGGAGACCGGGAUUAAAACCUGAUAAUGCCAAACAGUCACAUGGCUGUUUGGCCAAAGAUUUAUCGGCUGAGGAUGGGCCUGCGUCUGAUUAGUUAGUUGGUGGGGUAACGGCCUACCAAGACGACGAUCAGUAGCCGACCUGAGAGGGUGAUCGGCCACAGUGGAACUGAGACACGGUCCAAACUCCUACGGGAGGCAGCAGUGGGGAAUAUUGCACAAUGGGCGAAAGCCUGAUGAAGCAACGCCGCGUGAGCGAUGAAGGCCUUUGGGUCGUAAAGCUCUGUCCUAGGGGACGAACACAAUGACGGUACCCUUGGAGGAAGCCCCGGCUAACUACGUGCCAGCCGCCGCGGUAA